GUGGGGAAUAUUGGACAAUGGGCGAAAGCCUGAUCCAGUCAUGCCGCGUGUGUGAAGAAGGUCUUCGGAUUGUAAAGCACUUUAAGUUGGGAGGAAGGGCAGUAAGUUAAUACCUUGCUGUUUUGACGUUACCGACAGAAUAAGCACCGGCUAACUUCGUGCCAGCAGCCGCGGUAAUACGAAGGGUGCAAGCGUUAAUCGGAAUUACUGGGCGUAAAGCGCGCGUAGGUGGUUCAGUAAGUUGGAAGUGAAAUCCCCGGGCUCAACCUGGGAACUGCCUCCAAAACUACUGAGCUAGAGUACGGUAGAGGGUAGUGGAAUUUCCUGUGUAGCGGUGAAAUGCGUAGAUAUAGGAAGGAACACCAGUGGCGAAGGCGACUACCUGGACUGAUACUGACACUGAGGUGCGAAAGCGUGGGGAGCAAACAGGAUUAGAUACCCUUGUAGUCC
This 450-nucleotide ribosomal RNA is filed under the name uncultured bacterium. Its description in RNAcentral is "partial 16S ribosomal RNA". It matches the Rfam family "Bacterial small subunit ribosomal RNA", at positions 354 to 796 of the family's 1533-position model. The record is from RNAcentral.